GACGAACGCUGGCGGCGUGCUUAACACAUGCAAGUCGAACGGAAAGGCCCUGCUUUUGUGGGGUGCUCGAGUGGCGAACGGGUGAGUAACACGUGAGUAACCUGCCCUUGACUUUGGGAUAACUUCAGGAAACUGGGGCUAAUACCGGAUAGGAGCUCCUGCUGCAUGGUGGGGGUUGGAAAGUUUCGGCGGUUGGGGAUGGACUCGCGGCUUAGCAGCUUGUUGGUGGGGUAGUGGCUUACCAAGGCUUUGACGGGUAGCCGGCCUGAGAGGGUGACCGGCCACAUUGGGACUGAGAUACGGCCCAGAGUCCUACGGGAGGCAGCAGUGGGGAAUAUUGCACAAUGGGCGGAAGCCUGAUGCAGCAACGCCGCGUGCGGGAUGACGGCCUUCGGAGUGUAAACCGCUUUCGCCUGUGACGAAGCGUGAGUGACGGUAAUGGGUAAAGAAGCACCGGCAACCUACGU
RNAcentral lists this ribosomal RNA (467 nucleotides) under uncultured bacterium. RNAcentral describes it as "partial 16S ribosomal RNA". It matches the Rfam family "Bacterial small subunit ribosomal RNA", at positions 28 to 506 of the family's 1533-position model. The record is from RNAcentral.